Non-coding RNA from Aedes albopictus (Asian tiger mosquito), 118 nucleotides. NCBI's taxonomy places the organism in Eukaryota, Metazoa, Arthropoda, Insecta, Diptera, Culicidae. The record is from Rfam.
UGCCCAGCAACUCCUAUCCCUACCUCCUCGUGGUACCGUCCGUAAACUAUGGGCAACCUUAGGGAAGAUCGGGUAACCAACCCCGGUGGGAACUUUGGUCGUAGGCUGACAGGGAAGG